GAUGAACGCUGGCGGCGUGCCUAAUACAUGCAAGUCGAGCGAACGGACGAGAAGCUUGCUUCUCUGAUGUUAGCGGCGGACGGGUGAGUAACACGUGGAUAACCUACCUAUAAGACUGGGAUAACUUCGGGAAACCGGAGCUAAUACCGGAUAAUAUUUUGAACCGCAUGGUUCAAAAGUGAAAGACGGCCUUGCUGUCACUUAUAGAUGGAUCCGCGCUGCAUUGGCUAGUUGGUAAGGUAACGGCUUACCAAGGCAACGAUGCAUAGCCGACCUGAGAGGGUGAGCGGCCACACUGGAACUGAGACACGGUCCCGACUCCUACGGGAGGCAGCAGUAGGGAAUCUUCCGCAAUGGGCGAAAGCCUGACGGAGCAACGCCGCGUGAGUGAUGAAGUUCUUCGGAUCGUAAAACUCUGUUAUUAGGGAAGAACAUAUGUGUAAGUAACUGUGCACAUCUUGACGGUACCUAAUCAGAAAGCCACGGCUAACUACGUG
Molecule: ribosomal RNA, 497 nt
Filed under: uncultured bacterium
Lineage: Bacteria
Description: partial 16S ribosomal RNA
Rfam family: Bacterial small subunit ribosomal RNA
Source: RNAcentral